Molecule: unclassified non-coding RNA, 49 nt
Filed under: Onyong-nyong virus
Lineage: Riboviria; Orthornavirae; Kitrinoviricota; Alsuviricetes; Martellivirales; Togaviridae
Source: RNAcentral
AUAGGUACGCACUACAGCUACCUACUUAGAGCAUACAUCGCUAAUAGCC